CCCUACGGGGUGCACCGGAAGAAUGAACCAUGGUUUCCUGCUCAAUGCCUACAAGGCGGGGGCGGAUGGAGUGAUGGUGUCCGGGUGACACAUUGGCGACUGCCAUUACCUGGGAGGUAAUGAAAAGUGCAAGAAGGUGGUGGAGGAUACCUGGAAGGUCCUCAAGCUGUUGGGGAUCGAUGAGAGAUACCUCCGCCUGAAAUGGAUUUCGGCUUCCGAGGGAGUCAUCUUUGCCGAGGAAAUCCGUUCCUUCACCAAACUGCUGAAGGAAUUGGGAAAGAACCCUCUGGCGGAGAAGGAGCCCGCGGCGGCGGAUACGGAAGCGGCGAUGCCUCGCGCAGCCGCCGCCGGAUGACGGCGGGCCUGUGGGGGCUGACGGUUGUCCUUGAUCCGGGCGGGAGAGC
Molecule: ribosomal RNA, 404 nt
Filed under: uncultured prokaryote
Description: partial 16S ribosomal RNA
Source: RNAcentral